This 759-nucleotide long non-coding RNA is filed under the name Zea mays. RNAcentral describes it as "long non-coding RNA (ZMAY_LNC002284)". The record is from RNAcentral. Lineage: Eukaryota; Viridiplantae; Streptophyta; Magnoliopsida; Poales; Poaceae.
AAUAAUUUACAACUGCCAAAAACUAUUAAGUUCACACAUAAUAGUUUCGUAAAGGCAAGUCACAUAUAACAAUUUCACAAAAGGCAUCAAGUUCGCACAUGAAAGUCCCACAAAGACAUUAAAUUUUCACAUAGCAGAUUCACAAAGCCAUAAAGUUCGCACACAGUCAAGAAAAAUAUGGACUGCAACUAGAUAAAGCUUCAGACAACAACGUGCGUGGCAAAUCCUGAAACAAAAAGUAGUUGUGCAUCAAACUAAUUGUGCAAGUAAUAUGUGCAAAAUUGUGCAAGUAAUAUGUAAACUAUGCACUACUAGCAUCUUGAUGCAUCAACAGAUACGGACUACAUGUAAUGUGUGCAAAAAAAUAAGUUGAUGCCCAGAUGACGACCCAAUCUGCAAACUGUCCAUAGCCUAACCAGAAACACCCAAGCAUUGUGCAAAGAUGACUGCUCUUAUACUGAAGAAGUCUCAGCAUCAAUUCUUCUCUUGUGCUUUGUCUUAAGACAUCAACAAAAUCUUGACAUGAAUUCUAUGGUUUACCUGUCGGUGUUCGAGAUCUGAUCGCUCACUACGUGGAUACCCACGAGGUGCUUUUGGGUAGGACGACGUCGUUGAUCAUGACUCGAUGGUUCGUGUUGCAACACGACACAAAGGCACAAAGACUUAUACAGGUUCAGGCCACGUGGCGUAAUACCCUACUUCCUGUGGUGAUUCUAGUAUUGAAAAUGAGGUUUACAUGUUCAAAACUGUGAGUGUAGU